UUUGUACGGCGGCUCAGUGACUUUGUAUCACUGUGGUACACGUUUGGUGGAGGAACCAGACUGGAUGUUGGAAGUGAUGUGCGCCCCGCCCUGAAGGUGCUGGGUCCCUCCAGUGAGGAGCUGCAGCAGGGGAAGGCCACGCUCAUGUGUCUGGCCAACAAGGGCUUCCCCUCAGACUGGAGGCUGUCCUGGAAGAUGGACGGCAGCAGUGGCAGCAUCAGAGGGGAGGAGAGCAGGACUCCCGCAGUGCUGCACAAUGACGGCCGCUACAGCUGGAGCAGCACCCUGACACUCACUGCAGACCAGUGGGGGAAGGUGGGCUCUGUGACCUGUGAGGCCACCCAGGGCUCCCAGGCUCUGGUCUCAGAGACACUGAGGAGAGACCAGUGUUCCCAGUCCUGAUGUGACUCACUGGGACUCUGAUCCUGCUUUUCUUCAGCUACUGCUCUCUGUGUGCUCCAACUCUCUCUGUCUCUUUCUUUCUUUUUCUUCUCACAUUAAAAGAAAAAAAUCAAAUCAUAAUAUUUUCCAUCUCAUAAGGAAAAAAAUGCUAAAAACAAUCUCCUCUAGUUUGAUCCUUUUGUGAUUGUUGUAAAAGUGAUAUUUGAACUUUUCAA
Archocentrus centrarchus (flier cichlid) is the source of this 617-nucleotide non-coding RNA. The record is from the annotation of a RefSeq genome assembly. NCBI's taxonomy places the organism in Eukaryota, Metazoa, Chordata, Actinopteri, Cichliformes, Cichlidae.